AGAGUUUGAUCCUGGCUCAGGACGAACGCUGGCGGCGUGCCUAAUACAUGCAAGUCGAGCGGAUCACACCUCGGGUGUGGUUAGCGGCGGACGGGUGAGUAACACGUAGGCAACCUGCCUGUCAGAUCGGGAUAACUAUCGGAAACGAUAGCUAAGACCGGAUAACUGGUUUUCUCGCAUGAGAGAAUCAUGAAACACGG
This 200-nucleotide ribosomal RNA is filed under the name uncultured bacterium. RNAcentral's name for it is "partial 16S ribosomal RNA". It matches the Rfam family "Bacterial small subunit ribosomal RNA", at positions 8 to 211 of the family's 1533-position model. The record is from RNAcentral.